UACGGGGGGGGCAAGCGUUGUUCGGAAUUACUGGGCGUAAAGGGCUCGUAGGUGGCCAACUAAGUCAGACGUGAAAUCCCUCGGCUUAACCGGGGAACUGCGUCUGAUACUGGAUGGCUUGAGUUCGGGAGAGGGAUGCGGAAUUCCAGGUGUAGCGGUGAAAUGCGUAGAUAUCAGGAGGAACACCGGUGGUGUAGACGGCUCACUGGACCGUAACUGACGCUGAGACACGAAAGCGUGGGUAGCAAACAGG
Molecule: ribosomal RNA, 253 nt
Filed under: uncultured bacterium
Lineage: Bacteria
Description: partial 16S ribosomal RNA
Rfam family: Bacterial small subunit ribosomal RNA
Source: RNAcentral